This 73-nucleotide transfer RNA is filed under the name Thermoflavimicrobium dichotomicum. It matches the Rfam family "tRNA". From Rfam's summary of the family: Transfer RNA (tRNA) molecules are approximately 80 nucleotides in length. Their secondary structure includes four short double-helical elements and three loops (D, anti-codon, and T loops). The record is from Rfam by way of RNAcentral. Lineage: Bacteria; Bacillati; Bacillota; Bacilli; Caryophanales; Thermoactinomycetaceae.
GGGGCAUUAGCUCAGCUGGGAGAGCGCUACACUGGCAGUGUAGAGGUCGGCGGUUCGAGCCCGCUAUGCUCCA